ACGAUCAAUAAUAAUGUGCGAGGUUUACCUUGUGCAAUUAGAAUGAACCAAAGUUAAAACGCUAAAUGACGAUCAAUUGGAGGGCAAGUCUGGUGCCAGCAGCCGCGGUAAUUCCAGCUCCAAUAGGAUAUAUCAAAGUUGUUGCAGUUGAAAAGCUCGUAGCCGUAUUUCUGGUGGGUUGAUGUUCAAGUUUUUGUGUGGUGAAAGCCACAUGAGUCUUUGGGCCGCCUGCCAUUUUGUGGGUAAAAGUUGGUGGAAAUGUAUGAAAGUAUGUUUCUUCUAGCUCCACUCCGUCACUGAGAGCAAAUUGGAGUGCUCAAAGCAGGCUUUACAGCUUUGAACAUCUUAGCUUGGAAUGACAAAGUACGACUACUCGUUCACUUUGUUGGUUAUGAAUGGGAAGUAAUGAUAAAUAGGAACAGUUGCGGGGCUACUCGUACUGGAAAGUCAGAGGUGAAAUUCUUGGAUUUUUCCACGACGAACGACUGCGAAAGCAUUUAGCAAGGAUGUUUUCAUUGAUCAAGAACGAAAGUGCGAGGAUCGAAGAUGAUUAGAUACCAUCGUAGUUCACGCAGUAAACGAUGCCGUCUCGGGAUUGAGAUCUUUUUCGCUUUCUAGAAGGAUCUCAGCACCGUAUGAGAAAUCAAAGUCUUUGGGUUCCGGGGGGAGUAUGGUCGCAAGGUUGAGACUUAAAGGAAUUGACGGAAGGGCACACCAGAGGUGGAGCCUGCGGUUUAAUUUGACCCAACACGGGGAAACUCACCAGGUCCAGACAUGAGAAGGAUUGACAGUUUGAGAGCACUUUCUUGAUUUCAUGGGUGGUGGUGCAUGGCCGUUCUUAGUUGGUGGAGUGAUUUGUCUGGUUGAUUCCGAUAACGAACGAGACUCUCAGAGUAAACUGGCCUUUGGUCGUAAUUCACGUUACUUCCGGUCUCUUUUCUCGACAAUUCGUUUUAAACGAAAGGAAGCAGGGAUCGAAAACAGGUCUGUGAUGCCCCUCGAUGUUCUGGGCUACACGCGCGCUACAAUGACGAGUUCAACGAGUUAUUUCUCCUUGCCCGGAAGGGUGUGGGUAAUCUUUUCAAUGCUCGUCGUGAUGGGGCUAGAUUUUUGCAAUUAUUAAUCUUCAACGAGGAAUCUCUAGUAUGUGCAGUUCAUCAGACUGCGCAGAAUGCGUCCCUGCCCUUUGUACACACCGCCCGUCGCACCUACCGAUUGGACGAUCCGGCAAGAUGUUUGGAGUUGGGUUUUUUGCAUUUUCGGAUGCAUUGAAUCUGGCGAAGCUCCUCAAACCUUAUCGUCUAGA
This 1306-nucleotide ribosomal RNA is filed under the name metagenome. Its description in RNAcentral is "SSU rRNA". It matches the Rfam family "Eukaryotic small subunit ribosomal RNA", at positions 470 to 1777 of the family's 1831-position model. The record is from RNAcentral.